ACUUCAUGGAAAGGUAAGCUAGUGAAAGGUCAUAGUUGGGUGGAGCUAAUUUCUUUUUUCCUGCCAGAAAAAAAUGAAUGUCUGUUGCUUUUCUCUGAAAAUACAAGGGAAAAAAAAAAAAAAAGAAAAAAAGAGAAAAAGAGAUUAUCCCACAAUGACUUGCAUGUUGAUCACUUUGCACUACUUCAGGUUCCACUGUCUGGAACACAUUGGCUUUACCAGGAAAGUGAAGACAGCAAGCUGCUGGUAAACUACUGCUGGUUUCCAGAUAUGCUGAAGCCAAGCCCUCCUGCUUCCCUAGACCCCUUUUUCAGAGCCUGGGAACACCACCAGGAAGCAGCCACCACUGUCCAGGAGCCUCCACCAGCACCCAGCCCCAGACCUGCAGGAAGACAACCUCUACAGAGUCCCAAGUGAUGGCAGGCCUCCACAGGCCUGCUCCAUAGUCCCACUGCUGCCUGCACUGUUCACAGGCUCGGGCUGAUCCUUGCUGCAAGAGAAGAGAAUAACAGGAAACAAAAAGCAAGUAUCAAUCUUGUUUUUAAGGAGCCUUUGUGUGGUUUCCUACUCCCAGUAGAGACAGGGUUGGACUAAAGGGCACUGCUGCAUCUCAGUCACCUUCACCACUAGGAGUAGGAGUGGCUGAAAGCACCCACAAACCCACUCAUCCUCCCUCCAAAGGGAGGCAGGCAGGUAGGACCACUGCUGCAGAAGCAGCGUGUAGACUUCAAUAAAAGCAAAGGGAGCCCAGCA
Molecule: long non-coding RNA, 753 nt
Filed under: Numida meleagris (helmeted guineafowl)
Lineage: Eukaryota; Metazoa; Chordata; Aves; Galliformes; Numididae
Description: lncRNA (ENSNMEG00000014447.1)
Source: RNAcentral